GAUUGGCGAGGGCGAAUCGGAAAUUUGGGGAUUGUGUGCGAUAAGCUGCCUUGUUCGCCAUGUAGGAGCGGUGUUGAUGCAGAAGAAAGGUGGAAAUGGUGGAGGCCUAUAUCAAGAAUUCCAUGGUCAGAAACAUGCCGUCUAACAGAAAAUAAAUUCAUGGUUAAUUGUACAAAAUCAUCGUAUGCGAGUCUUCAUAAUCCAAGCUGAUAUUAUUACAACUACAUUAUAGUUCACCCGACUUUGUAAGGAUCCCACCAUUGUAAGUUUCCAAAAACAAUCGACUUAGACUAAUUUUUUAACACAUAAAAUUGGUGUGCCAAGAGAGGACAAAGGACCGAUAGCGACCAAAGUGAUCAAAUGUUUAAUUAACCUAAUCAAAUCAACUGGUUAACAAUGUGACAAUUUGACGAGUAGAAGGUCAAUCCAAAAUAAUAUAAUAGCUAAUAAGAUCCCUGUGACGAAACACAUUACUUAAUUCUUCAAUCGGCCACCAUCAUAUACGAAACAAUUUAAGGAUUACUAGCCAACAUUACGUGUUCAACUCUAUAUCAACGAAACAAGAAAACAUAUUUAAGAAACUCGUUUUUCGCACCGCAUACGAACAUUGGAGUUAUAGAUAACGAGAUAAAUACACUAGAGGAUACAUAAUUUUCAGCCAAAAUUACUUGACCACUUCCGAUAUCUUUUUUUUUUAUUGAAGUCCAUGGAAAUAGAAAAUACCUAGAGAUGCAGGCGAUUUAAUUUGCAGAUGAGGUAUGCACGAGCUUCUAUCGUAGAAAGACACCACUUUCGGAAUGUCGGAAAUCGACGAAUUGUAGGACCUGAAACUACAUGAUUUUCUGCUAUAAGGGAGCGAAUGAAAAACCCCAGAGCAUCC
Molecule: long non-coding RNA, 880 nt
Filed under: Erythranthe guttata (spotted monkey flower)
Lineage: Eukaryota; Viridiplantae; Streptophyta; Magnoliopsida; Lamiales; Phrymaceae
Description: long non-coding RNA (EGUT_LNC000213)
Source: RNAcentral